UACAGAGGGGGCAAGCGUUGUUCGGAAUUACUGGGCGUAAAGGGCGCGUAGGCGGCCUGUUAAGUCGAACGUGAAAUCUCCGGGCUCAACCCGGGAACUGCGUCCGAUACUGGCAGGCUUGAAUUCGGGAGAGGGAUGUGGAAUUCCAGGUGUAGCGGUGAAAUGCGUAGAUAUCUGGAGGAACACCGGUGGCGAAGGCGGCAUCCUGGACCGAUAUUGACGCUGAUGCGCGAAAGCCAGGGGAGCAAACGGG
RNAcentral lists this ribosomal RNA (253 nucleotides) under uncultured bacterium. RNAcentral's name for it is "partial 16S ribosomal RNA". It matches the Rfam family "Bacterial small subunit ribosomal RNA", at positions 524 to 776 of the family's 1533-position model. The record is from RNAcentral.